RNAcentral lists this ribosomal RNA (495 nucleotides) under uncultured bacterium. Its description in RNAcentral is "bacterial SSU rRNA". It matches the Rfam family "Bacterial small subunit ribosomal RNA", at positions 899 to 1397 of the family's 1533-position model. The record is from RNAcentral.
ACUCAAAGGAAUAGACGGGGACCCGCACAAGCAGUGGAGUAUGUGGUUUAAUUCGAAGCAACGCGAAGAACCUUACCAGGGCUUGACAUCUCCUGCAUACCAUAGAGAUAUGGGAAGCCCCUUGGGGCAGGAAGACAGGUGGUGCAUGGUUGUCGUCAGCUCGUGUCGUGAGAUGUUGGGUUAAGUCCCGCAACGAGCGCAACCCUUAUUGUCAGUUGCCAUCAUUUAGUUGGGCACUCUGGCGAGACUGCCGGUGACAAAUCGGAGGAAGGUGGGGAUGACGUCAAAUCAUCAUGCCCCUUAUGUCCUGGGCUACACACGUACUACAAUGGACGAUACAGCAGGGAGCGAAGGAGCGAUCUGGAGCGAAUCCUUAAAAACGUCCUCAGUUCGGAUCGGAGGCUGAAACCCGCCUCCGUGAAGUCGGAAUUGCUAGUAAUGGCAGGUCAGCAUACUGCCGUGAAUACGUUCCCGGGUCUUGUACACACCGCCCGU